Oncorhynchus mykiss (rainbow trout) is the source of this 3413-nucleotide non-coding RNA. Lineage: Eukaryota; Metazoa; Chordata; Actinopteri; Salmoniformes; Salmonidae. The record is from RefSeq and is a predicted model, not a curated record.
GAUAGGUAGACGUCCGUGGUCAUGUGGGUAGGUAGACGUCAUGUGGGUAGGUGGACGUCAUGUGGGUAGGUGGACGUCCGUGGUCAUGUGGGUAGGUGGACGUCAUGUGGGUAGGUGGACGUCUGUGGUCAUGUGGAUAGGUAGACGUCAUGUGGGUAGGUGGACGUCCGUGGUCAUGUGGGUAGGUGGACGUCAUGUGGGUAGGUGGACGUCUGUGGUCAUGUGGGUAGGUAGACGUCAUGUGGGUAGGUGGACGUCAUGUGGGUAGGUGGACGUCUGUGGUCAUGUGGGUAGGUGGACGUCAUGUGGGUAGGUGGACGUCAUGUGGGUAGGUGGACGUCUGUGGUCAUGUGGGUAGGUAGACGUCAUGUGGGUAGGUGGACGUCAUGUGGGUAGGUGGACGUCUGUGGUCAUGUGGGUAGGUGGACGUCAUGUGGGUAGGUGGACGUCAUGUGGGUAGGUGGACGUCUGUGGUCAUGUGGGUAGGUGGACGUCAUGUGGGUAGGUGGACGUCAUGUGGGUAGGUGGACGUCUGUGGUCAUGUGGGUAGGUGGACGUCAUGUGGGUAGGUGGACGUCUGUGGUCAUGUGGGUAGGUAGACGUCAUGUGGGUAGGUGGACGUCCGUGGUCAUGUGGGUAGGUAGACGUCCGUGGUCAUGUGGAUAGGUAGACGUCAUGUGGGUAGGUGGACGUCAUGUGGGUAGGUGGACGUCUGUGGUCAUGUGGGUAGGUGGACGUCAUGUGGGUAGGUGGACGUCAUGUGGGUAGGUGGACGUCUGUGGUCAUGUGGGUAGGUGGACGUCAUGUGGGUAGGUGGACGUCUGUGGUCAUGUGGGUAGGUAGACGUCAUGUGGGUAGGUGGACGUCCGUGGUCAUGUGGGUAGGUAGACGUCAUGUGGGUAGGUAGACGUCCAUAGUCAUGUGGGUAGGUAGACGUCAUGUGGGUAGGUGGACGUCCGUGGUCAUGUGGGUAGGUAAACGUCCGUGGUCAUGUGGGUAGGUAGACGUCCGUGGUCAUGUGGGUAGGUAGACGUCCGUGGUCAUGUGGGUAGGUGGACGUCAUGUGGGUAGGUAGACGUCAUGUGGGUAGGUAGACGUCCGUGGUCAUGUGGAUAGGUAGACGUCCGUGGUCAUGUGGAUAGGUAGACGUCAUGUGGGUAGGUAGACGUCCGUGGUCAUGUGGGUAGGUAGACGUCCGUGGUCAUGUGGGUAGGUAGACGUCCGUGGUCAUGUGGGUAGGUAGACGUCCGUGGUCAUGUGGGUAGGUAGAUGUCCGUGGUCAUGUGGGUAGGUGGACGUCCGUGGUCAUGUGGGUAGGUAGACGUCAUGUGGGUAGGUAGACGUCCGUGGUCAUGUGGGUAGGUAGACAUCCGUGGUCAUGUGGGUAGGUAGACGUCAUGUGGGUAGGUGGACGUCCGUGGUCAUGUGGGUAGGUAGACGUCCGUGGUCAUGUGGGUAGGUAGACGUCCGUGGUCAUGUGGGUAGGUAGACGUCAUGUGGGUAGGUAGACGUCCGUGGUCAUGUGGGUAGGUAGACGUCAUGUGGGUAGGUGGACGUCAUGUGGGUAGGUGGACGUCUGUGGUCAUGUGGGUAGGUGGACGUCAUGUGGGUAGGUGGACGUCUGUGGUCAUGUGGGUAGGUGGACGUCUGUGGUCAUGUGGGUAGGUGGACGUCAUGUGGGUAGGUGGACGUCAUGUGGGUAGGUGGACGUCUGUGGUCAUGUGGGUAGGUGGACGUCAUGUGGGUAGGUGGACGUCUGUGGUCAUGUGGGUAGGUAGACGUCAUGUGGGUAGGUGGACGUCCGUGGUCAUGUGGGUAGGUAGACGUCAUGUGGGUAGGUAGACGUCCAUAGUCAUGUGGGUAGGUAGACGUCAUGUGGGUAGGUGGACGUCCGUGGUCAUGUGGGUAGGUAAACGUCCGUGGUCAUGUGGGUAGGUAGACGUCCGUGGUCAUGUGGGUAGGUAGACGUCCGUGGUCAUGUGGGUAGGUAGACGUCCGUGGUCAUGUGGGUAGGUAGACGUCAUGUGGGUAGGUAGACGUCCGUGGUCAUGUGGGUAGGUAGACGUCCGUGGUCAUGUGGGUAGGUAGACGUCCGUGGUCAUGUGGGUAGGUAGACGUCCGUGGUCAUGUGGGUAGGUAGACGUCCGUGGUCAUGUGGGUAGGUAGAUGUCCGUGGUCAUGUGGGUAGGUGGACGUCCGUGGUCAUGUGGGUAGGUAGACGUCAUGUGGGUAGGUAGACGUCCGUGGUCAUGUGGGUAGGUAGACAUCCGUGGUCAUGUGGGUAGGUAGACGUCAUGUGGGUAGGUGGACGUCCGUGGUCAUGUGGGUAGGUAGACGUCCGUGGUCAUGUGGGUAGGUAGACGUCCGUGGUCAUGUGGGUAGGUAGACGUCAUGUGGGUAGGUGGACGUCCGUGGUCAUGUGGGUAGGUGGACGUCCGUGGUCAUGUGGGUAGGUAGACGUCCGUGGUCAUGUGGGUAGGUAGACGUCCGUGGUCAUGUGGGUAGGUAGACGUCCGUGGUCAUGUGGGUAGGUAGACGUCCGUGGUCAUGUGGGUAGGUAGACGUCCGUGGUCAUGUGGGUAGGUAGACGUCAUGUGGGUAGGUGGACGUCCGUGGUCAUGUGGGUAGGUGGACGUCCGUGGUCAUGUGGGUAGGUGGACGUCCGUGGUCAUGUGGGUAGGUAGACGUCCGUGGUCAUGUGGGUAGGUAGACGUCCGUGGUCAUGUGGGUAGGUAGACGUCCGUGGUCAUGUGGGUAGGUAGACGUCAUGUGGGUAGGUAGACGUCAUGUGGGUAGGUAGACGUCAUGUGGGUAGGUAGACGUCAUGUGGGUAGGUAGACGUCCGUGGUCAUGUGGGUAGGUAGACGUCCGUGGUCAUGUGGGUAGGUAGACGUCCGUGGUCAUGUGGGUAGGUAGACGUCCGUGGUCAUGUGGGUAGGUAGACGUCCGUGGUCAUGUGGGUAGGUAGACGUCCGUGGUCAUGUGGGUAGGUAGACGUCCGUGGGCAUGUGGGUAGGUAGACGUCCGUGGUCAUGUGGGUAGGUAGACGUCCGUGGUCAUUUGGGUAGGUAGACGUCCGUGGUCAUGUGGGUAGGUAGACGUCCGUGGUCAUGUGGGUAGGUAGACGUCCGUGGUCAUGUGGGUAGGUAGACGUCAUGUGGUUAGGUGGACGUCCGUGGUCAUGUGGGUAGGUGGACGUCCGUGGUCAUGUGGGUAGGUAGACGUCCGUGGUCAUGUGGGUAGGUAGACGUCAUGUGGAUAGGUGGACGUCCGUGGUCAUGUGGGUAGACGUAUGCCCACUAAUGUUCCUAAUAGCACCGGUUAAUAGCUACAACUUUUGGAUCUUUGUCCGGUCAUCAAACUGACUUCUAGUAGUGGUCUGUGUAUACUUUAUGCUGAUGGUUGUGUUCUGC